This 821-nucleotide ribosomal RNA is filed under the name Helictopleurus perrieri. Its description in RNAcentral is "SSU rRNA". It matches the Rfam family "Eukaryotic small subunit ribosomal RNA", at positions 472 to 1254 of the family's 1831-position model. The record is from RNAcentral. Lineage: Eukaryota; Metazoa; Arthropoda; Insecta; Coleoptera; Scarabaeidae.
CAAAAAUAACGAUACGGGACUCAUCCGAGGCCCCGUAAUCGGAAUGAGUACACUCUAAACCCUUUAACGAGGAUCAAUUGGAGGGCCAGUCUGGUGCCAGCAGCCGCGGUAACACCAGCUCCAAUAGCGUAUAUUAAAGUUGUUGCGGUUAAAAAGCUCGUAGUCGAAUUUGUGUCCCGCGCCGCCGGUUCAUCGCUCGCGGUGUUAACUGGCGUGUCCGCGGGACGUCCUGCCGGUGGGCUUAGCUUUCGGGCGGCCCAAUCUCAAUCCCACCGCGGUGCUCUUUACUGAGUGUCGAGGUGGGCCGGCACGUUUACUUUGAACAAAUUAGAGUGCUUAAAGCAGGCUAAAAUAUCGCCUGAAUACUGUGUGCAUGGAAUAAUGGAAUAGGACCUCGGUUCUAUUUUGUUGGUUUUCGGAACCCCGAGGUAAUGAUUAAUAGGAACGGAUGGGGGCAUUCGUAUUGCGACGUUAGAGGUGAAAUUCUUGGAUCGUCGCAAGACGGACAGAAGCGAAAGCAUUUGCCAAAAACGUUUUCAUUGAUCAAGAACGAAAGUUAGAGGUUCGAAGGCGAUCAGAUACCGCCCUAGUUCUAACCAUAAACGAUGCCAGCUAGCGAUCCGCCGACGUUCCUCCGAUGACUCGGCGGGCAGCUUCCGGGAAACCAAAGCUUUUGGGAUCCGGGGGAAGUAUGGUUGCAAAGCUGAAACUUAAAGGAAUUGACGGAAGGGCACCACCAGGAGUGGAGCCUGCGGCUUAAUUUGACUCAACACGGGAAACCUCACCAGGCCCGGACACCGGAAGGAUUGACAGAUUGAGAG